Molecule: ribosomal RNA, 136 nt
Organism: Ochotona princeps (American pika)
Lineage: Eukaryota; Metazoa; Chordata; Mammalia; Lagomorpha; Ochotonidae
Source: Ensembl
UUCUACAGCCACACCACCCUGGACGCACCCAGUCUUGUCUGAUCUUGGAAACUAAGCAGGGUCGUGCCUGGUUAGUACUUGAAUGGGAGAAGUGGAGCAGCCUCUUACCCAUGCGGUAGCCUAGCAGCUAAAGUCC